RNAcentral lists this ribosomal RNA (492 nucleotides) under uncultured bacterium. RNAcentral describes it as "partial 16S ribosomal RNA". It matches the Rfam family "Bacterial small subunit ribosomal RNA", at positions 29 to 507 of the family's 1533-position model. The record is from RNAcentral.
AGUGAACGCUGGCGGUAGGCCUAACACAUGCAAGUCGAACGGCAGCACAGUAAGAGCUUGCUCUUACGGGUGGCGAGAGGCGGACGGGUGAGGAAUACAUCGGAAUCUACUUUUUCGUGGGGGAUAACGUAGGGAAACUUAAGAUAAUACCGCAUACGACCUACGGGUGAAAGCAGGGGAUCUUCGGACCUUGCGCGAUUGAAUGAGCCGAUGUCGGAUUAGCUAGUUGGCGGGGUAAAGGCCAACCAAGGCGCCGAUCCGUAGCUGGUCUGAGAGGAUGAUCGGCGACACUGGAACUGAGACACGGUCCAGACUCCUACGAGAGGCAGCAGUGGGGAAUAUUGGACAAUGGGCGCAAGCCUGAUCCAGCCAUACCGCGUGGGUGAAGAAGGCCUUCGGGUUGUAAAGCCCUUUUGUUGGGAAGGAAAAGCAGCAGGUUAAUACCCCGCUGUUCUGACGGUACCCAAAGAAUAAGCACCGGCUAACUUCGUG